CCCUGAUCUGGCAAAGCUCCCAUCCUGCCCUGACCCUGCCAUGGGCACCAGGCUCCUCUGCUGGGUGGCCCUCUGUCUCCUGGGGGCAGAACUCACAGAAGCUGGAGUGACCCAGUCUCCAAGAUAUAAGAUUACAGAGAAAAAACAGCCUGUGGCUUUUUGGUGCAAUCCUAUUUCUGGCCACAAUACCCUUUACUGGUACCGGCAGAACUUGGGACAGGGCCCAGAGCUUCUGAUUCGAUAUGAAAAUAAGGAAGCAAUAGAUGAUUCACAGUUGCCUAAGGAUCGAUUUUCUGCAGAGAGGCUCAAAGGAGUAGACUCUACUCUCAGGAUCCAGCCUGCAGAGCUUGGGGACUCGGCCGUGUAUCUCUGUGCCAGCAGCCCAGACGACACUGAAGCUUUCUUUGGACAAGGCACCAGACUCACAGUUGUAGAGGACCUGAAAAAGGUGUUCCCACCCAAGGUCGCUGUGUUUGAGCCAUCAGAAGCAGAGAUCUCCCACACCCAAAAGGCCACACUGGUGUGCCUGGCCACAGACUUCUACCCUGACCAUGUGGAGCUGAGCUGGUGGGUGAACGGGAAAGAGGUGCACAGUGGGGUCAGCACGGACCCACAGCCCCUCAAGGAGCAGCCCGCCCUCAACGACUCCAGAUACUGCCUGAGCAGCCGCCUGAGGGUCUCGGCCACCUUCUGGCACAACCCCCGCAACCACUUCCGCUGCCAAGUCCAGUUCUAUGGGCUCUCGGAGGAUGACGAGUGGACCGAGGACAGGGACAAGCCCAUCACCCAAAAGAUCAGCGCUGAGGCGUGGGGUAGGGCAGACUGUGGCUUCACCUCGGUGUCCUACCAGCAAGGGGUCCUGUCUGCCACCAUCCUCUAUGAGAUCCUGCUGGGGAAGGCCACCCUGUAUGCUGUGCUGGUCAGUGCCCUCGUGUUGAUGGCCAUGGUCAAGAGGAAGGAUUUCUGAAAGCAGCCCUGGAAGUGGAAUUAGGAGCUUCUAACUCGUCGUGAUUUCAAUAUACAUUCUUCUUUUGCCAGUGCUUCUGCAGAGCUGCUCUCACCUCUCUGCACCCCAAUAGAUACCCCCUAUGUGCAUGCACACAUGCACACUCACAGCUGAAAUCUCCCUAAUCCAGAGGCACCUUAGCAUUCCUAAGUGACUAAGCCAAUAAAAAUAUUCUGAUUUGGCCUGAC
Molecule: non-coding RNA, 1194 nt
Organism: Rhinopithecus roxellana (golden snub-nosed monkey)
Lineage: Eukaryota; Metazoa; Chordata; Mammalia; Primates; Cercopithecidae
Source: the annotation of a RefSeq genome assembly